GAUGAACGCUGGCGGCGUGCCUAAUACAUGCAAGUCGAGCGAACAGAUGAGGAUCUUGCUCCUCUGACGUUAGCGGCGGACGGGUGAGUAACACGUGGAUAACCUACCUAUAAGACUGGGAUAACUUCGGGAAACCGGAGCUAAUACCGGAUAAUAUAUUGAACCGCAUGGUUCAAUAGUGAAAGACGGUUUUGCUGUCACUUAUAGAUGGAUCCGCGCCGCAUUAGCUAGUUGGUAAGGUAACGGCUUACCAAGGCAACGAUGCGUAGCCGACCUGAGAGGGUGUACGGCCACACUGGAACUGAGACACGGUCCAGACUCCGACGGGAGGCAGCAGUAGGGAAUCGUCCGAAAUGGGCGAAAGCCUGCCGGAGCAACGCCGCGUGAGUGAUGAAGGUCUUCGGAUCGUAAAACUCUGUUAUUAGGGAAGAACAAAUGUGUAAGUAACUAUGCACGUCUUGACGGUACCUAAUCAGAAAGCCACGGCUAACUACGUG
Molecule: ribosomal RNA, 497 nt
Filed under: uncultured bacterium
Lineage: Bacteria
Description: partial 16S ribosomal RNA
Rfam family: Bacterial small subunit ribosomal RNA
Source: RNAcentral